CCUUAUCGAGAUCUCAGCUUCUUCAUAAGCUCCCACACGAAUUGCUUGAUUCACUGGUUAGACGAUUGGGUCUGUAGCUCAGUUGGUUAGAGCGCACCCCUGAUAAGGGUGAGGUCGGCAGUUCGAAUCUGCCCAGACCCACCAAUUGUUGGUGUGCUGCGUGAUCCGAUACGGGGCCAUAGCUCAGCUGGGAGAGCGCCUGCUUUGCACGCAGGAGGUCAGGAGUUCGAUCCUCCUUGGCUCCACCAUCUAAAACAAUCGUCGAAAGCUCAGAAAUGAAUGUUCGUGAAUGAACAUUGAUUUCUGGUCUUUGCACCAGAACUGUUCUUUAAAAAUUCGGGUAUGUGAUAGAAGUAAGACUGAAUGAUCUCUUUCACUGGUGAUCAUUCAAGUCAAGGUAAAAUUUGCGAGUUCAAGCGCGAAUUUUCGGCGAAUGUCGUCUUCACAGUAUAACCAGAUUGCUUGGGGA
RNAcentral lists this transfer RNA (469 nucleotides) under Pseudomonas fluorescens. RNAcentral's name for it is "partial 16S-23S ribosomal RNA intergenic spacer". The stretch from base 68 to 141 matches the Rfam family "tRNA". The record is from RNAcentral. Lineage: Bacteria; Pseudomonadati; Pseudomonadota; Gammaproteobacteria; Pseudomonadales; Pseudomonadaceae.